AUGGCGUACCCGUAUGUCUUCCACGCGCAGGCGCCACCGGCCAGAGCGGAGGAGCACAAGUCCAAGGGCGCAAUGCCGCAGCCACAGGUCAGGCCCCAGUGGCCUGUCGGCAGCGGCGCCGGGCGUGGGUGUGGCGGCGGCGGAGCCGGGUGGAUGGGUCUUGGCUCCCGGGAGAGGCAGCUCGCGAGUGCUUAUGAUCUCGUGGAGCAGAUGCAUUACCUGUACGUGCGCGUCGUUAAGGCGCGCGGGAUCCCCGUGGGCGCGGUCACCGGCGGCUGCAACCCCUACGUCGAGGUGCGCCUCGGCAACUACCGCGGCACGACGCCGCACCACGACAGGAAGUCGAGCCCGGAGUGGAACCAGGUCUUCGCCUUCUCCAGGGAGCGCGUCCAGGCCACGGCGCUCGAGGUGUUCGUCAGGGACAGGGACGCCGUGGCGCGCGACGACUACGUCGGCAGGGUCGCGUUCGACAUCAGCGAGGUGCCGCUGCGCGUGCCGCCCGACAGCCCGCUCGCGCCGCAGUGGUACCGCCUCGAGAGCGUGCGCCAUGGUGGCAAGAUGGUGCUGCCGACCGAGGUCAUGCUCGCGGUGUGGGUCGGCACGCAGGCCGACGAGGCGUUUGGGGACGCAUGGCACGCCGACGCGGCGUCGGCGCGCGGCGGCGCUGAUGGUGUGGCCGCGGUGCAGAGCGCGCGGUCCAAGGUGUACGUGACGCCUAAGCUGUGGUACCUCCGGAUAAACGUGCUGGAGGCACAGGACGUCGUGACGGGCGGCUUCGUCGGCGACAAGGUCCGGCAGCACGUCGAGGUCUUCGCCAAGGUGCAAGUCGGCGGCAUGAUGCUCCGGACCAAGCCGUGCGCCAUGAGGAAUCCGACAAGCCUGGCGUGGAACGAGGAGCUGGUCUUCGUUGUGGCGGAGCCGUUCGAGGACCCGGCGGUGCUCAUCGUCGAGGCCCGGGCGCACCCCGGCAAGGACGAGAUCGUCGGGCGUGCCGUGCUGCCGCUCACGAUCUUCGAGAAGCGCCUCGAACGCGGGGCGGUCCACUCGCAGUGGUUCAGCCUGGAGCCGUUCGGGCAUCCUUUGCGCCGGCCGGAAGCCACUUUCGCCGGCCGCGUCCACCUCCGGGCGUGCCUCGAGGGCGCGUACCACGUCAUGGACGAGCCGACCAUGUACGUCAGCGACACGCGCCCGACGGCGCGGCAGCUGUGGCGCCCUCCCGUCGGCGUGCUCGAGGUCGGCGUCCUCGGCGCGCAGGGACUCACUCCCAUGAAGACCGCCGACGGGCGGGGCACCACAGACGCCUACUGCGUGGCCAAGUACGGGCAGAAGUGGGUGCGCACGCGCACCGUCGUGGACUCGUGCAGCCCGCGGUGGAACGAGCAGUACACGUGGGAGGUCUACGACCCCUGCACGGUGCUCGCGCUCGCCAUGUUCGACAACUGCCACCUCGGCAAAGCCAAUGCCGCCGCCGGCAACGCCGUCCUCAGAGACCAGGUGAUGGGCAAGGUGAGGAUACGCCUCUCCACGCUGGAGAUGGACAAGGUGUACACCAACGCGCACCAUCUCGUCGUGCUGCACCCGUCCGGCGUGCGCAAGAACGGCGAGCUCUGCCUCGCCGUGCGCCUCACCUCCGUCUCUCUCGCCAGCGUUAUGUGCUUGUACGGGAAGCCCCUCCUCCCCAAGAUGCACUACGUCCAGCCUUUCGCCAUCCCGCAGCUCGACGCGCUCCGGCGCCAGGCGAUGAGCAUCGUGGCGGCGCGGCUGAGCCGGGCCGAGCCGCCGCUGCGGCGGGAGGUCGUGGAGUACAUGCUGGACGCGGGCUCGCACCUGUGGAGCAUGCGGCGGAGCAAGGCCAACUUCUUCCGGGUCACGGCGCUGCUGUCCGGCGCCGCCAGCACGGCGCGGUGGCUCGUGGACGUGUGCCACUGGAGGAACCCGGUGACCACCGUGCUGGUGCACUUGCUCUUCGUCACGCUCAUGUGCUUCCCGGAGCUCAUCCUGCCGACCAUGUUCCUGUACAUGGCCCUGGCCGGCCUGUGGAACUACCGGCGCCGGCCCCGCCGGCCGGCGAGCAUGGACGCGAGGCUCUCCUGCGCGGAGGCGACUCACCCCGACGAGAUCGACGAGGAGCUGGACACGUUCCCGACGUCGAAGCCGAACGACGUGGUGCGGCUGCGGUACGACCGGCUGCGGAGCGUGGCCGGGCGGAUCCAGACGGUGGUCGGCGACGUGGCGACGCAGGGGGAGAGGGUGCGGUCGCUGCUCGCGUGGAGGGACCCAAGGGCGACGGCGCUGUUCACGGCGCUCUGCCUCGUCGCCGCCGUGACGCUGUACGUCACGCCGCUCCGGGUCGUGGCGCUCGUCGCCGGGCUGUACGCGCUCCGCCACCCGCGGUUCCGGAGCCGGAUGCCGUCGGCCGCCGGCAACUUCUUCAAGAGGCUGCCCUCCAGGGCCGACACCAUGUUGUAG
This 2469-nucleotide ribosomal RNA is filed under the name Triticum aestivum (bread wheat). RNAcentral's name for it is "partial small subunit ribosomal RNA". Lineage: Eukaryota; Viridiplantae; Streptophyta; Magnoliopsida; Poales; Poaceae. The record is from RNAcentral.